This is a non-coding RNA of Mycena olivaceomarginata, 91 nucleotides long. Lineage: Eukaryota; Fungi; Basidiomycota; Agaricomycetes; Agaricales; Mycenaceae. The record is from the annotation of a GenBank genome assembly.
ACACCAGUGGUGUGUGGUACACGCGCCGGGCUAAUUCUCCAGGAUCAUGAAAUUACCACGGCGAGUCGGGGUUCGAUUCCCCGCUGGUGUA